AUACGAAGGGGGCAAGCGUUGUUCGGAAUAACUGGGCGUAAAGCGCACGUAGGCGGAAUGGUAAGUUAGAGGUGAAAUCCCAGGGCUCAACCCUGGAACGGCCUUUAAUACUGGCAAUCUAGAGACCGAGAGAGGUGAGUGGAAUUCCGAGUGUAGAGGUGAAAUUCGUAGAUAUUCGGAGGAACACCAGUGGCGAAGGCGGCUCACUGGCUCGGUACUGACGCUGAGGUGCGAAAGCGUGGGGAGCAAACAGGAUUAGAAACCCCAGUAGUCC
Molecule: ribosomal RNA, 274 nt
Filed under: uncultured bacterium
Lineage: Bacteria
Description: partial 16S ribosomal RNA
Rfam family: Bacterial small subunit ribosomal RNA
Source: RNAcentral